This 459-nucleotide ribosomal RNA is filed under the name uncultured bacterium. RNAcentral's name for it is "partial 16S ribosomal RNA". It matches the Rfam family "Bacterial small subunit ribosomal RNA", at positions 338 to 795 of the family's 1533-position model. The record is from RNAcentral.
CCUACGGGUGGCAGCAGUGAGGAAUAUUGGUCAAUGGUCGGGAGACUGAACCAGCCAAGCCGCGUGAGGGAUGAAGGUACAGAGUAUCGUAAACCUCUUUUGUCAGGGAACAAAGGCGGGGACGUGUCCCCGGAUGAGUGUACCUGAAGAAAAAGCAUCGACUAACUCCGUGCCAGCAGCCGCGGUAAUACGGAGGAUGCGAGCGUUAUCCGGAUUUAUUGGUGUUAAAGGGUGCGCAGGCGGUUGGUUAAGUCAGCGGUAAAAGCCCGGGGCUCAACCCCGUACCGCAGUUGAAACUGGCAGUCUCGAGUUGGAGAGAGGUAUGCGGAAUGCGCGGUGUAGCGGUGAAAUGCAUAGAUAUCGCGAAGAACUCCGAUUGCGAAGGCAGCAUGCCGGCUCCACACUGACGCUGAUGCACGAAAGCGUGGGUAUCGAACAGGAUUAGAUACCCUUGUAGUC